GAUGAACGCUGGCGGCGUGCCUAAUACAUGCAAGUCGAGCGAACAGACGAGGGGCUUGCUCCUCUGACGUUAGCGGCGGACGGGUGAGUAACACGUGGAUAACCUACCUAUAAGACUGGGAUAACUUCGGGAAACCGGAGCUAAUACCGGAUAAUAUAUUGAACCGCAUGGUUCAAUAGUGAAAGACGGUUUUGCUGUCACUUAUAGAUGGAUCCGCGCCGCAUUAGCUAGUUGGUAAGGUGACGGCUUACCAAGGCAACGAUGCGUAGCCGACCUGAGAGGGUGAUCGGCCACACUGGAACUGAGACACGGUCCAGACUCCUACGGGAGGCAGCAGUAGGGAAUCUUCCGCAAUGGGCGAAAGCCUGACGGAGCAACGCCGCGUGAGUGAUGAAGGUCUUCGGAUCGUAAAACUCUGUUAUUAGGGAAGAACAAAUGUGUAAGUAACUAUGCACGUCUUGACGGUACCUAAUCAGAAAGCCACGGCUAACUACGUG
RNAcentral lists this ribosomal RNA (497 nucleotides) under uncultured bacterium. RNAcentral's name for it is "partial 16S ribosomal RNA". It matches the Rfam family "Bacterial small subunit ribosomal RNA", at positions 28 to 507 of the family's 1533-position model. The record is from RNAcentral.